This 383-nucleotide ribosomal RNA is filed under the name uncultured bacterium. RNAcentral describes it as "bacterial SSU rRNA". It matches the Rfam family "Bacterial small subunit ribosomal RNA", at positions 524 to 906 of the family's 1533-position model. The record is from RNAcentral.
UACGAAGGGUGCAAGCGUUAAUCGGAAUUACUGGGCGUAAAGCGUGCGUAGGUGGUUGUUCAAGUCUGUCGUGAAAGCCCUGGGCUCAACCUGGGAAUGGCGAUGGAAACUGGGCGACUGGAGUGCGGUAGAGGAUGGCGGAAUUCCCGGUGUAGCAGUGAAAUGCGUAGAGAUCGGGAGGAACAUCUGUGGCGAAGGCGACUGCCUGGACCAGCACUGACACUGAGGCACGAAAGCGUGGGGAGCAAACAGGAUUAGAUACCCUGGUAGUCCACGCCCUAAACGAUGCGAACUGGAUGUUGGGCUCAACUUGGAGCUCAGUAUCGAAGCUAACGCGUUAAGUUCGCCGCCUGGGGAGUACGGUCGCAAGACUAAACUCAAAG